Molecule: transfer RNA, 74 nt
Filed under: Paenarthrobacter sp. YJN-5
Lineage: Bacteria; Bacillati; Actinomycetota; Actinomycetes; Micrococcales; Micrococcaceae
Rfam family: tRNA
About the family: Transfer RNA (tRNA) molecules are approximately 80 nucleotides in length. Their secondary structure includes four short double-helical elements and three loops (D, anti-codon, and T loops).
Source: Rfam by way of RNAcentral
GCCCGCCUGGCCCAAUUGGUAGAGGCGCUGCAUUCAAAGUGCAGGUGUUCCCGGUUCAAGUCCGGGGGCGGGCA